GAUGAAGAACGUAGCGAAAUGCGAUAAGUAAUGUGAAUUGCAGAAUUCAGUGAAUCAUCGAAUCUUUGAACGCACAUUGCGCCCGCCAGUAUUCUGGCGGGCAUGCCUGUCCGAGCGUCAUUUCAACCCUCGAACCCCUCCGGGGGGUCGGCGUUGGGGAUCGGCCCUUUACGGGGCCGGCCCCGAAAUACAGUGGCGGUCUCGCCGCAGCCUCUCCUGCGCAGUAGUUUGCACACUCGCAUCGGGAGCGCGGCGCGUCCACAGCCGUUAAACACCCCAAACUUCUGAAAUGUUGACCUCGGAUCAGGUAGGAAUACCCGCUGAACUUAAGCAUAUCAAUAAGCGGAGG
This 349-nucleotide unclassified non-coding RNA is filed under the name soil metagenome. RNAcentral's name for it is "partial contains 5.8S ribosomal RNA, internal transcribed spacer 2, and large subunit ribosomal RNA". The stretch from base 1 to 120 matches the Rfam family "5.8S ribosomal RNA", at positions 35 to 154 of the family's 154-position model. The record is from RNAcentral.